This 1372-nucleotide ribosomal RNA is filed under the name uncultured bacterium. RNAcentral's name for it is "bacterial SSU rRNA". It matches the Rfam family "Bacterial small subunit ribosomal RNA", at positions 28 to 1381 of the family's 1533-position model. The record is from RNAcentral.
GAUGAACGCUGGCGGCGUGCCUAAUACAUGCAAGUCGAGCGAACGGACGAGAAGCUUGCUUCUCUGAUGUUAGCGGCGGACGGGUGAGUAACACGUGGAUAACCUACCUAUAAGACUGGGAUAACUUCGGGAAACCGGAGCUAAUACCGGAUGAUAUUUUGAACCGCAUGGUUCAAAAGUGAAAGACGGUCUUGCUGUCACUUAUAGAUGGAUCCGCGCUGCAUUAGCUAGUUGGUAAGGUAACGGCUUACCAAGGCAACGAUGCAUAGCCGACCUGAGAGGGUGAUCGGCCACACUGGAACUGAGACACGGUCCAGACUCCUACGGGAGGCAGCAGUAGGGAAUCUUCCGCAAUGGGCGAAAGCCUGACGGAGCAACGCCGCGUGAGUGAUGAAGGUCUUCGGAUCGUAAAACUCUGUUAUUAGGGAAGAACAUAUGUGUAAGUAACUGUGCACAUCUUGACGGUACCUAAUCAGAAAGCCACGGCUAACUACGUGCCAGCAGCCGCGGUAAUACGUAGGUGGCAAGCGUUAUCCGGAAUUAUUGGGCGUAAAGCGCGCGUAGGCGGUUUUUUAAGUCUGAUGUGAAAGCCCACGGCUCAACCGUGGAGGGUCAUUGGAAACUGGAAAACUUGAGUGCAGAAGAGGAAAGUGGAAUUCCAUGUGUAGCGGUGAAAUGCGCAGAGAUAUGGAGGAACACCAGUGGCGAAGGCGACUUUCUGGUCUGUAACUGACGCUGAUGUGCGAAAGCGUGGGGAUCAAACAGGAUUAGAUACCCUGGUAGUCCACGCCGUAAACGAUGAGUGCUAAGUGUUAGGGGGUUUCCGCCCCUUAGUGCUGCAGCUAACGCAUUAGGCACUCCGCCUGGGGAGUACGACCGCAAGGUUGAAACUCAAAGGAAUUGACGGGGACCCGCACAAGCGGUGGAGCAUGUGGUUUAAUUCGAAGCAACGCGAAGAACCUUACCAAAUCUUGACAUCCUUUGACAACUCUAGAGAUAGAGCCUUCCCCUUCGGGGGACAAAGUGACAGGUGGUGCAUGGUUGUCGUCAGCUCGUGUCGUGAGAUGUUGGGUUAAGUCCCGCAACGAGCGCAACCCUUAAGCUUAGUUGCCAUCAUUAAGUUGGGCACUCUAAGUUGACUGCCGGUGACAAACCGGAGGAAGGUGGGGAUGACGUCAAAUCAUCAUGCCCCUUAUGAUUUGGGCUACACACGUGCUACAAUGGACAAUACAAAGGGCAGCGAAACCGCGAGGUCAAGCAAAUCCCAUAAAGUUGUUCUCAGUUCGGAUUGUAGUCUGCAACUCGACUACAUGAAGCUGGAAUCGCUAGUAAUCGUAGAUCAGCAUGCUACGGUGAAUACGUUCCCCGGUCU